This 1188-nucleotide long non-coding RNA is filed under the name Salvia miltiorrhiza (redroot sage). RNAcentral's name for it is "long non-coding RNA (SMIL_LNC006374)". The record is from RNAcentral. Lineage: Eukaryota; Viridiplantae; Streptophyta; Magnoliopsida; Lamiales; Lamiaceae.
UUUAAGAACAUUAAAAAAAUAAUUAUACAGCUCAAUCAAAUUGUUGUACAACAACUAAAAUACAACAACUCAAUCUACCAUCAAAAUACAUCAAUUCCUCUAAAUCAACAAUCAAAAUACACCAAAAAUAUUAUUCAAAUCAAUUCAAUCUACAAUUAAAAUACAACAAUUCCUCCGAAUCAACAAUCUCAACAUUCAAUCUCCGAACAAUCUCAACAGAUCUUAGAACGAAAAUCAUUCACACAAUCUCCACACAAUCUCCAUAAAUCUCCAUAAAUAAAAGCUCAAUCAUCAACUCAUGAUCUCCAUCCUCUAAACGAAGCCAUACACAGACAUGACAAAAUCAAUAAUCACAAUUCAGACUUCUGCAAAUUAGCAUCAAAAUCCCAUCAUAGCAGAAUUUCUGCAGAAUUCCAGACUUGGAAUCCAAUUCCUACGGACACAAAUAGUAGAAACCUUCUUAAGGUUUGCUCUCUUCACCACUGUUACAGAUCUUGAUCUGUUGAAACAUUCCUAACAUUAAAUCAAGAAGCCAUUUUUCGCAUAACCAAAUGUCACCAACACAGCAACAUCAACACAUCACUAUUAUCUUCGCUACAACUAUAGAGAUACAUCAUCUUGCAUAAUAUGUUUGCUUUCUGCAUUUCUAAUAAUGUUAUUAAAGAACUGAAAAAAAACACAAACUUGGGGCUGUGUGUGUGCGCGUGAGUCUGGGGAGGGGGAGGGCUCCGGCUGGUUUUAUGAGGGCGGCAUAAGGAGGGGGAGGACCGGCGGCGGCGGUGGAGGCGGCCUGUGACUCCUGCUGUCCGUCGGUCAAGAGAGAAAGAGAUGGGUGGUGCUACUGUCGUUCGGAGAGGAGUCAGCAGAGCUGCUGCUGCUGUUGACGGCGGCGGUCCGGUUGGCUGUGGCUGCCGUUCAAAGAAUCAGAGGAGGAGGGAGGCGGCGAUGGCGGCGGUCCGGCUGACUGCUGCUGUCGGCUGGAGCAGAGGGGGGGGCGAGAUUGGUAAGAGAGGCCAUUUUUUCCGGCGAUGGACUGCUCGGCCUCAAGCGACCCAGAAUCGCGGUGGUGGCAGCCUUGUAACCGCUGCUCGCCGAGAAUCAGAGGGCGGCGACGGGGCGGCAGAGAGCUGAGAGAGAAGAGAGUGAAGAGAGAGAUGAAAGAGAGAGAGAGAGAGAGAAUUCGCAGAU